This is a long non-coding RNA of Heterocephalus glaber (naked mole-rat), 2213 nucleotides long. The record is from Ensembl. Lineage: Eukaryota; Metazoa; Chordata; Mammalia; Rodentia; Bathyergidae.
CAUUUGUCUGUGCAGCUUUGAGCUACACAUGUCAUUUAUUUUUUAAACUAGUUUCAAGGUUUGAGUAGCCCAGCUGUGCUGUUAGGAGACUAUUCAACACCCGCCAUCCCUUUCUUUCUUAAUUUAAACUACACAAUUGUAGCAGUAACUGGCCUUGUGGGACUGGAUUUCCAGCUGGUGGUGAACUGUCAUCAGUUGUAGGCUACUCCAGCAGUCUCCGCCUCCUCACUGAUGAUUAUUUAGCCACGGCUAGGUGACACCACUCCAAUCAGGUGGAUGAAAGAGGAAGGCUGCCGGCUGCUGCUGGGAAAGCUUUCACACUGCUAAGAAGGGAUAUCUCUUUCCCUACGGAGAAUACCAGUGUCAGCAAACGACUCCAGCAGCUGUGGCAGGUUAUAGUAUUUAGGAAAAGUAGAGGAUGAAGUUCUCAUCAGUUCAUACAUGAAAUGAGAAUGAAUCCAGUCAGCUCCAAGGCAGGAAGAACACGGUGGAAGGGCCCAGGACCAAAAAGCUGCUCAACCCAUGGAGCCAGGGGACAGAGAGGAGAAAGAGAGACCCAGGCACCCUCUUGUAGCACAUGCCAGGGGAUCACCCCUGCCAACCAGCAGGAUCUCCUAACAGCACCUCAACUGGUGAAAAAGCAUAACACUCUGAAUAUGAAAGUGCUCUACAGUUUAGCAGAACACCACAUUCUCAGGAUGCUGUUCUUGAGAAGCCCUGGCGCCACACAUGGAAAUUGGUUGGCUGUCCCUGCAGGACUGGAACCUCAGUGUCUCUCUUUCCUAGCACUUAACCUCCUCCACGCAGCACUAAGCACAAUGCCCUGAAAUCACCGCUGUCUAUGCUCCAAGGUGCGCGCCAGACUCUGCUGUGGCUCUUGCUCACGACAAAACUCCCCUGGCUCCUCUGGAGAGGCCUAAUUCGUAAUUCCCUCCAAGACCGUCAGACCCUUCUCAGUGUGUUCCUCCUUCAGGCAGAAGACACUCCCUUCCAGGAUGCUCUUUAGGGAACCUUAGAAGAAACCACUGCCCACAAAUUGUCCCCCAUGGAAGCCGAGACGGUCAUCGUUGGGGUGCAGCAUGGAGCUGCGCGGCUCACUCUUUAGAAAGACCCAGCGCAAACCUCACUCAGACACAGACUCCAGGGAGCCCCUGCUCCCCCCACCAAUACGAGAAAUCAUUCGCUGUCUUCAGGACUCAUCCUGCGCCUGCUCUCCCCGUGUGCCUGCCUGGAGAACUCAAAGUCAAAACUAGCUCAGUGGUUCUGCUGCUUGCUGCGCAAGCGCAAGGACCCGAGUUCGAUCCCAGGUAACAAAAAAACCAAACCAAAACAAAACAAAACAAAAAAACACACAAAAAACAAACUAAUGCUGACCGCGCACAUUGCUAGGCUCCGCGUGUUUCCUCUUCCAGGAAGCUCAGCACCACCCCAAAAUCCCCAUCAGUCCUCUCUGCGCUGGAUGGGAAAUAGAGAGCACCAGAUUCCUGGAGACAUACUGACCUUAAUCUGAGAAGUAACAUGCUUCCCCCUUGUUUAUUUUUCAGACUCUGGUGCUAGAAACACAUUUUAAGGGUCUAGUUAAAUUGUUGAGGUUGCUAAUCCCUAGUCAAGUAGCUCCGGAUUGAGUAUAGAUUUUGGUGGGCCAGCCAACUUCAGCAGCGCAUACAGCAACCAGCUCCCCGGGUUCCUCCUAGAUUUAGGGAAUUCUGGCUGGGCAUCUGUCGGGGGGAUUCCGUGUACGCAAGCAUAGUGCAAAUGUAAUUAUCUCUGAGUGCAUAGGCCAUUUUAUAGUCUUCUAGGAACAGCUAGGAAAAUCAUAUUUUGUCAUGUUUAUGAUGCUAAGACUUCUACUUUCUGAAAUAGCACACACAUGUACUGGUACACAGUUGAUGUAGAAAAGUAUAGCUUUUUACUACAGUCUCUAGAGCUACUAUAUACCAGAACAGACAAGCUACUUCAGCACUCUGCCUCACUUUUCUUAUUUAAAGAAAAACAAUAACAUUUUAUAAAAUAAAAUAAUCUAUGACUUCCCUUGAACCCAUGCAAUUACUUUCUUUUAUGGAUAUUAGCUACAUUUUAAUUACUAAAAUUUUAUGAACACUACAUCUAGGAUUUUAUGCUCAUGCACAGUUUUCAUAUAUGUUGAAUAAAUUGAAAUAAAUUUUUACAAGAACAUGCCUUAUUCAAAUUCCAAAAAGUGCUAAAUAGAGUAG